UGCCUGAUAUGAGUGUCCUUUUAUUCUUUAUUCAUUCACAAAGGAAGCAGGUGAUAAGCCAUUUGAAUUAGCAUGAAUGGCAACCAAGUCCUGUGUGGAGACACUCUUGAACAUAAGGAGGAAAAUUACAUGCUGAGCAGAAGAAUCUCUUGACAACAGAUAUUGGAGUAUAUGCUGCAAAGCUAAGAAAAAAAUAACUCUGCAACUCUGCUUUUUUUAGCAGCUUCACGUUUGUUGAUGUAUAAUGGCAACUUUAUAUGGGACAGCAUUUGUUUUGAAAUAAUAUGUCAAUCUCUGAAAAGUUAAUCCCAGCAAGGUGUGAUCCAACAUUGUAAGGUUUGUUGUAGUAAUAGAGUUCUAUGAACACCCAGAUGUUUUUUCUUGCCGUGCUGCUUGGUCUUAGACUCAGGAAAAAUCCUGUACUUGCAGUGAAAUGUUGCUGUGUAUAAAGAGUUAAUAAAUUUAUGGAAGAUUUUCAGCAUUUACAUUUUAUUUACCCUGGUUAUAAAAUCUUGAACUGUCAAGAAUGAAGAGCAGGAGUGCAGUACAAAGCCAAGGGUGAAUUAGAAAGGAAAUACUGAGAAAGCAUAUAUUCAGUGUUUGUAGCGUGGAAAAAGGAAUCAUACAGCAGGCUUUAAAUAUUGUUAACUCUAAGGAAUUUGAAUGUAUUUACACGAAUGUAAGAGAUGCCACAGAUUUAGAAGUUAGGAGUUUUGAAAGUUACUGGGCGAAUUCCAGGAACAGUACAAAUGUUUUUUCAAGCUAAAUUAAAGAUUAAAUCUUAAAUGUUCUGAAAGCACAUUGUUCCACCAAUAAGUAAUGUUGAUACAGAGGCUGAACUGAAGGGUAGUUGUCUACAGAUUUUUGUCCUUUGUGAGUUUUUUGAAGGACCCUUCGAAUGUCAUGGAAUAAUCAAACUACUUAAUAUGCACACUAUGCUUAGUGUUCAACUGUAUUGUAGAGUUGUGCGUGUGUGUGUGGUUAUUUUUUUGCCCAGAACUCCACUGUAGGUGCAGUUGCCAACAGAAAAGUGCCAUUGUUGAUUUUGCUCUCUAUGUGGGUAUUCCAGAAACAAAAGUAAACCCUAUCAAAGAAGAUACAUUCUUUGUUGAUCCAUUCAGACAGAAUCAUGCGUGGAAGAAGCAUCUCUUAGGAAUGGGACUAAACAGUUUUUGUCUGGUGUCUGGGUGUGGGUCUGUUUUUGUCUCAGAGCGAAUAAAUGGAUUAAAUAUCUACUUGAGGUCUUAUCCUCACUGA
This is a long non-coding RNA of Pogoniulus pusillus (Red-fronted tinkerbird), 1257 nucleotides long. RefSeq lists it as uncharacterized. The transcript has 2 exons. Lineage: Eukaryota; Metazoa; Chordata; Aves; Piciformes; Lybiidae. The record is from RefSeq and is a predicted model, not a curated record.